AGCAUAAACGGUAAAAGCUCAAUUGAAAAUUAAUUUUUAAUAACAUUCAUAUAACAAUAGCCAAUUAUUUUGACCUGGAAAAACCGAAACGAUCCUCUCAAACCAAAUGCAGUGUCAUUGGCAUCAUAGACAUCUUCACAGAUAUUUCACCUAUACCAAAUCUUUAGAGUUUACUUCAAACAUAUUCUCCACUGAAUUUGAUGUGGCAAAAGAUUUACAAGAAUCAAUGAGAUGCAAAAACUGAUGGAUCGUGACACUGCAUAAAGAAAAAGAUAUUAGUAAGGUUCACUUUCCUGCGACAUCAUUAGUAUUUGAUCAAUAAAGAGCCAUUAACAGAAGUGAAAGCCUUGGCCUUAAAGGCAACUUUGAAUUCCAAAUAAAAGAGGCUAGAAAGAAUUGAAAAGAAAUGACUACUAUUUAUGGGAAAAUUCUGACAUGAAGAUGCCUGAUUUCCAAUACUCUGAGCCCUAAAAUCUUGCUAACCGAAUAACAUAGUUAUUCAUCACAUCCCAACUAAAAUUUAAACAACUAAUCAAUAAAAGAAUAGUGAGAAAUAACUUAAUACAGUUUCAUUGAUUGAAACUAUUAUCUCAAAGGAGACUAGAAAAUUAUAUCAAAUUAGUGUUAAUAUUGUGC
Molecule: long non-coding RNA, 636 nt
Filed under: Olea europaea (common olive)
Lineage: Eukaryota; Viridiplantae; Streptophyta; Magnoliopsida; Lamiales; Oleaceae
Description: long non-coding RNA (OEUR_LNC014443)
Source: RNAcentral